This 451-nucleotide ribosomal RNA is filed under the name uncultured bacterium. RNAcentral describes it as "bacterial SSU rRNA". It matches the Rfam family "Bacterial small subunit ribosomal RNA", at positions 335 to 796 of the family's 1533-position model. The record is from RNAcentral.
ACUCCUACGGGAGGCAGCAGUGGGGAAUAUUGGACAAUGGGCGCAAGCCUGAUCCAGCCAUGCCGCGUGAGUGAUGAAGGCCUUAGGGUUGUAAAGCUCUUUUGUCCGGGAAGAUAAUGACUGUACCGGAAGAAUAAGCCCCGGCUAACUUCGUGCCAGCAGCCGCGGUAAUACGAAGGGGGCUAGCGUUGCUCGGAAUCACUGGGGCGUAAAGGGGCGCGUAGGCGGACUCUUAAGUCGGGGGUGAAAGCCCAGGGCUCAACCCUGGAAUUGCCUUCGAUACUGGGGAGUCUUGAGUUCGGAAGAGGUUGGUGGAACUGCGAGUGUAGAGGUGAAAUUCGUAGAUAUUCGCAAGAACACCGGUGGCGAAGGCGGCCAACUGGUCCGAAACUGACGCUGAGGCGCGAAAGCGUGGGGAGCAAACAGGAUUAGAUACCCUGGUAGGAUAGCC